This is a long non-coding RNA of Phyllopteryx taeniolatus (common seadragon), 429 nucleotides long. RefSeq lists it as uncharacterized. NCBI's taxonomy places the organism in Eukaryota, Metazoa, Chordata, Actinopteri, Syngnathiformes, Syngnathidae. The transcript is spliced from 3 exons. The record is from RefSeq and is a predicted model, not a curated record.
UGACACACACACACGGUGGACACGUAACGAAAAAAUAUUCUGCCUUCACAAUUGAAUCAGAGCCGUAACAGAAGCAGGACGCUGCCCGUGCGGCAACGACGAACGACGGAAGCAGGGCCCGACCGAUCUGGAUUUUUGUCUUUCGGCCGAUUCCCAUACGUUCUAUUCUUCAAGAUCUCUCCGCAUCGUUCGAUCGCUCGCUCGCUCGCCGGAAGGCUAGCGGCUUCGUGUUUAACUGAAGCGGCCCAAAUGACACACCAAGUCAAUUUGCCAGCACGAUUGUUCCAGAGGGGACUCCCGAGAGGACUGGGACCCUCCAAUUGUGAAAACUGAUCUCAAUCACAGAUUUAUCGGUACCGGAAUCGGCGGCGAAAACCCUGAUCGCAGCAGCCCUAAUUAUGGCUGGUGUGCACAACACCAAGACCCGAG